Molecule: ribosomal RNA, 254 nt
Filed under: uncultured bacterium
Lineage: Bacteria
Description: partial 16S ribosomal RNA
Rfam family: Bacterial small subunit ribosomal RNA
Source: RNAcentral
UACGUAGGGUCCGAGCGUUGUCCGGAAUUACUGGGCGUAAAGAGCUCGUAGGUGGUUUGUCGCGUUGUUCGUGAAAACUCACAGCUUAACUGUGGGCGUGCGGGCGAUACGGGCAGACUUGAGUACUGCAGGGGAGACUGGAAUUCCUGGUGUAGCGGUGAAAUGCGCAGAUAUCAGGAGGAACACCGGUGGCGAAGGCGGGUCUCUGGGCAGUAACUGACGCUGAGGAGCGAAAGCGUGGGGGAGCGAACAGG